UCCUAGCCCCGAUAGAAACGGUUACCCCACAGCAGGUGAAGGCAAAAGCCAUGGAGCGAGGAGUAUGAGUGGAUAGCGGGAUAAGCU
Molecule: unclassified non-coding RNA, 87 nt
Filed under: Chryseobacterium taeanense
Lineage: Bacteria; Pseudomonadati; Bacteroidota; Flavobacteriia; Flavobacteriales; Weeksellaceae
Description: Flavo-1 RNA
Source: RNAcentral